UCGGGAAUUUUGGGCAAUGGGGGAAACCCUGACCCAGCAACGCCGCGUGAAGGAUGAAGUAUUUCGGUAUGUAAACUUCGAAAGAAUAGGAAGAAUAAAUGACGGUACUAUUUAUAAGGUCCGGCUAACUACGUGCCAGCAGCCGCGGUAAUACGUAGGGACCAAGCGUUGUUCGGAUUUACUGGGCGUAAAGGGCGCGUAGGCGGCAUGACAAGUCACUUGUGAAAUCUCUGGGCUUAACCCAGAAUGGCCAAGUGAUACUGUCGCGCUAGAGUGCAGAAGGGGCAAUCGGAAUUCUUGGUGUAGCGGUGAAAUGCGUAGAUAUCAAGAGGAACACCUGAGGUGAAGACGGGUUGCUGGGCUGACACUGACGCUGAGGCGCGAAAGCCAGGGGAGCAAACGGGAUUAGAUACCCGUGUAGUCCCUGAGCGGGCUGGCAAGGCGCAU
Molecule: ribosomal RNA, 447 nt
Filed under: uncultured bacterium
Lineage: Bacteria
Description: bacterial SSU rRNA
Rfam family: Bacterial small subunit ribosomal RNA
Source: RNAcentral